ACUACUCAGUCAGAAGUGCACUACUUUGUGCAUUAUAUAGGGAAUAAGGCACCAUUUUGGACGCGAACUGGCACUACUUAACAAUGGAUUGAGGAUUCAAUUGGUUGAUAUUGGAACAGGUCUUUACAUGGUAAAGGUAGACAGUUAGGGGAACAAGUCUUUACAUGGUAAAGGUAGACAGUUAGGUGAACUCACUUCAUUCACAGGGGAACAAGUCUUUACAUGGUAAAGGUAGACAGUCAGGGGAACAAGCAUCACCCACCUGGAUAUGUACUGGACUACAGUAAGAUGACAAACACAGCAUCAAAUCAACUUUGGACAUUUUCUGUUAUUUUUAUAAAGAAAGUCCACUUUCUGUUUUCCGCCAGGGAUUGAUUGGACAUUGUGGGGACGACGCAGAGAGACUUUUGAGGAGUGGAACUGAAUGGAACAAACAGUAUUAACGAAACAAGACACCUUGGAAUCAUAGAUCAUGAAACAACACCAGGAGGACCUUUCUUUGGGCCCAGAGUGUUGUUUCAGGUGAAUGAAGAAGGAGAGGAGGAGGAAGAUGAGGAGGAGGAAGAUAUUUCUACAGUAUUAAGUAAUAAUGAGCUCAAUUCAAUCAAAUUCGCCUUCCGGUAUUUACGCAGUAGUUGUUUAUUUUACCCUUAGUCAAAUGAUCAAAUGACAUGACAGAAUAGUUAUAGGGGUGAUGUAAACACCUACCACUGACAGGUAGACUCCACGGCCAGGUAGACUCCACGGCCAGGUAGACUCCACGGCCAGGUAGACUCCACGGCCAGGUAGACUCCACGGACAGGUAGACUCCACGGACAGGUAGACUCCAUGGCCAGGUAGACACUACGGCCAGGUAGACACCACGGCCAGGUAGACACCACGGCCAGGUAGACACCACGGCCAGGUAGACACCACAGCCAGGUAGACUCCACAGCCAGGUAGACACCACAGCCAGGUAGACACCACAGCCAGGUAGACACCACAGCCAGGUAGACUCCACAGCCAGGUAGACACCACAGCCAGGUAGACUCCACAGACAGGUAGACACCACAGCCAGGUAGACUCCACAGCCAGGUAGACUCCACAGCCAGGUAGACACCACAUCCAGGUAGACUCCACAGCCAGGUAGACACCACAGCCAGGUAGACUCCACAGCCAGGUAGACUCCACGGACAGGUAGACUCCACGGACAGGUAGACUCCACGGCCAGGUAGACUCCACGGCCAGGUAGACUCCACGGCCAGGUAGACUCCACAGCCAGGUAGACACCACGGCCAGGUAGACACCACGGCCAGGUAGACUCCACGGCCAGGUAGACACCACGGCCAGGUAGACUCCACGGCCAGGUAGACUCCACGGCCAGGUAGACUCCACGGCCAGGUAGACUCCACAGCCAGGUAGACACCACAGCCAGGUAGACUCAAAUGGUUUAGACUCCACAGCCAGGUAGACUCAAAUGGUUUAGACUCCACAGCCAGGUAGACUCCACAGCCAGGUAGACUCCACAGCCAGGUAGACUCCACAGCCAGGUAGAUGCUUCCAGCUCACAGACGUUUGGGUACGUGAAGACACUGUGUAAACAUUUCUAAAUGCAAGUUUGCUUGAAUACCAGCCCAUGUGUCACUAUUGAAGAGGAAUUGGGAGAGGGGUUAAACAUCCCCACAGAGUUUAAUAAACAACAUCCAUCUGGUUUUGUAGUACUAUAUAGAUCUGUAACUAUCUUUUUUUAGUUUUCACUACAGACUUGUGACUUUGUCUCGUCCUACGGAUGGUUACAACAAAUUUAUUUUGUAUUGUAGUUUUUGUUUUGUUGUUUUUGUUAAAGCUGUGUUACUGUUUUAAUGUGUACAAUCAACUCAAGUCAAAUGGUUUACAGUUGACUUUACACCCCCCGUUAUCCACGUGUCACUCACUCCUCUGUCAUGUUUGUGUUCCUGCAGUCUCUCUCUCUAUUUAACUCUAUCAAUCCUUACUGGGUUGCUGGACUCUCGUCUUCUCAUUAUCUCAUAAUCAUAAGUGGGGCUAGGAGUAUUUCAUUUCCUGACCAUGUGACCUGACCAGGAGAAACUCUAAACUCCUAGCCCUAAUCCUCAGUACCAAGGCC
This is a long non-coding RNA of Oncorhynchus tshawytscha (Chinook salmon), 2104 nucleotides long. NCBI's taxonomy places the organism in Eukaryota, Metazoa, Chordata, Actinopteri, Salmoniformes, Salmonidae. The record is from Ensembl.